UACGUAGGGAGCGAGCGUUGUCCGGAAUUACUGGGCGUAAAGGGUGCGUAGGCGGCGAAGCAAGUCAGAUGUGAAAUCCCCGGGCUUAACUCGGGGGGUGCAUUUGAAACUGCAUUGCUUGAGUGCAGGAGAGGAAAGCGGAAUUCCUAGUGUAGCGGUGAAAUGCGUAGAUAUUAGGAAGAACACCAGUGGCGAAGGCGGCUUUCUGGUCUGUCACUGACGCUGAGGCGCGAAAGCGUGGGGAGCAAACAGG
Molecule: ribosomal RNA, 253 nt
Filed under: uncultured bacterium
Lineage: Bacteria
Description: partial 16S ribosomal RNA
Rfam family: Bacterial small subunit ribosomal RNA
Source: RNAcentral